GAAUCUUGCACAAUGGAGGAAACUCUGAUGCAGCGACGCCGCGUGAGUGAUGAAGCCCCUCGGGGUGUAAAGCUCUUUCGACGGGAACGAUAAUGACGGUACCCGAAGAAGAAGCCGCGGCUAACUACGUGCCAGAAGCCGCGGUAAUACGUAGGCAGCGAGCGUUGUUCGGAAUUACUGGGCGUAAAGAGUGUGUAGGCGGCGCUCUAAGUUUGGUGUGAAAUCUCCCGGCUCAACUGGGAGGGUGCGCCGAAAACUGGAGUGCUCGAGGAUGGGAGAGGCAAGCGGAAUUCCUGGUGUAGCGGUGAAAUGCGUAGAUAUCAGGAGGAACACCCGUGGUGUAGACAGCUUGCUGGACCAUAUCUGACGCUGAGACACGAAAGCGUGGGUAGCAAACAGG
Molecule: ribosomal RNA, 400 nt
Filed under: uncultured bacterium
Lineage: Bacteria
Description: bacterial SSU rRNA
Rfam family: Bacterial small subunit ribosomal RNA
Source: RNAcentral